RNAcentral lists this ribosomal RNA (439 nucleotides) under uncultured bacterium. RNAcentral's name for it is "partial 16S ribosomal RNA". It matches the Rfam family "Bacterial small subunit ribosomal RNA", at positions 339 to 795 of the family's 1533-position model. The record is from RNAcentral.
CUACGGGUCGCAGCAGUGGGGAAUAUUGCACAAUGGGGGGAACCCUGAUGCAGCAACGCCGCGUGGAGGAUGACACAUUUCGGUGCGUAAACUCCUUUUAUAUAAGAAGAUAAUGACGGUAUUAUAUGAAUAAGCACCGGCUAACUCCGUGCCAGCAGCCGCGGUAAUACGGGGGGUGCAAGCGUUACUCGGAAUCACUGGGCGUAAAGAGCAUGUAGGCGGGUAGAAAAGUUGGAAGUGAAAUCCUAUGGCUUAACCAUAGAACUGCUUCCAAAACUCUUUACCUAGAAUAUGGGAGAGGUAGAUGGAAUUUCUGGUGUAGGGGUAAAAUCCGUAGAGAUCAGAAGGAAUACCGAUUGCGAAGGCGAUCUACUGGAACAUUAUUGACGCUCAGAUGCGAAAGCGUGGGGAGCAAACAGGAUUAGAUACCCGAGUAGUC